RNAcentral lists this ribosomal RNA (1450 nucleotides) under Lactiplantibacillus plantarum. Its description in RNAcentral is "bacterial SSU rRNA". It matches the Rfam family "Bacterial small subunit ribosomal RNA". The record is from RNAcentral. Lineage: Bacteria; Bacillati; Bacillota; Bacilli; Lactobacillales; Lactobacillaceae.
UGCAAGUCGAACGAACUCUGGUAUUGAUUGGUGCUUGCAUCAUGAUUUACAUUUGAGUGAGUGGCGAACUGGUGAGUAACACGUGGGAAACCUGCCCAGAAGCGGGGGAUAACACCUGGAAACAGAUGCUAAUACCGCAUAACAACUUGGACCGCAUGGUCCGAGUUUGAAAGAUGGCUUCGGCUAUCACUUUUGGAUGGUCCCGCGGCGUAUUAGCUAGAUGGUGGGGUAACGGCUCACCAUGGCAAUGAUACGUAGCCGACCUGAGAGGGUAAUCGGCCACAUUGGGACUGAGACACGGCCCAAACUCCUACGGGAGGCAGCAGUAGGGAAUCUUCCACAAUGGACGAAAGUCUGAUGGAGCAACGCCGCGUGAGUGAAGAAGGGUUUCGGCUCGUAAAACUCUGUUGUUAAAGAAGAACAUAUCUGAGAGUAACUGUUCAGGUAUUGACGGUAUUUAACCAGAAAGCCACGGCUAAUUACGUGCCAGCAGCCGCGGUAAUACGUAGGUGGCAAGCGUUGUCCGGAUUUAUUGGGCGUAAAGCGAGCGCAGGCGGUUUUUUAAGUCUGAUGUGAAAGCCUUCGGCUCAACCGAAGAAGUGCAUCGGAAACUGGGAAACUUGAGUGCAGAAGAGGACAGUGGAACUCCAUGUGUAGCGGUGAAAUGCGUAGAUAUAUGGAAGAACACCAGUGGCGAAGGCGGCUGUCUGGUCUGUAACUGACGCUGAGGCUCGAAAGUAUGGGUAGCAAACAGGAUUAGAUACCCUGGUAGUCCAUACCGUAAACGAUGAAUGCUAAGUGUUGGAGGGUUUCCGCCCUUCAGUGCUGCAGCUAACGCAUUAAGCAUUCCGCCUGGGGAGUACGGCCGCAAGGCUGAAACUCAAAGGAAUUGACGGGGGCCCGCACAAGCGGUGGAGCAUGUGGUUUAAUUCGAAGCUACGCGAAGAACCUUACCAGGUCUUGACAUACUAUGCAAAUCUAAGAGAUUAGACGUUCCCUUCGGGGACAUGGAUACAGGUGGUGCAUGGUUGUCGUCAGCUCGUGUCGUGAGAUGUUGGGUUAAGUCCCGCAACGAGCGCAACCCUUAUUAUCAGUUGCCAGCAUUAAGUUGGGCACUCUGGUGAGACUGCCGGUGACAAACCGGAGGAAGGUGGGGAUGACGUCAAAUCAUCAUGCCCCUUAUGACCUGGGCUACACACGUGCUACAAUGGAUGGUACAACGAGUUGCGAACUCGCGAGAGUAAGCUAAUCUCUUAAAGCCAUUCUCAGUUCGGAUUGUAGGCUGCAACUCGCCUACAUGAAGUCGGAAUCGCUAGUAAUCGCGGAUCAGCAUGCCGCGGUGAAUACGUUCCCGGGCCUUGUACACACCGCCCGUCACACCAUGAGAGUUUGUAACACCCAAAGUCGGUGGGGUAACCUUUUAGGAACCAGCCGCCUAAGGUGGGACAGA